ACUCUUUUUAGUAGUAUUGUUGAUAAUAAAACGAUACAGAGAAGAUUAUUAGCAUGGCCCCUGCGCAAGGAUGACACGCACAAAUCUAGAAAUGGUUCAAAUUUUU
Molecule: small nuclear RNA, 106 nt
Filed under: Solanum tuberosum (potato)
Lineage: Eukaryota; Viridiplantae; Streptophyta; Magnoliopsida; Solanales; Solanaceae
Source: RNAcentral